RNAcentral lists this ribosomal RNA (1442 nucleotides) under uncultured organism. RNAcentral's name for it is "SSU rRNA". It matches the Rfam family "Bacterial small subunit ribosomal RNA". The record is from RNAcentral.
ACGCUAGCUACAGGCUUAACGCAUGCAAGUCGAGGGGCAGCAUGGUCUUAGCUUGCUAAGGCCGAUGGCGACCGGCGCACGGGUGAGUAACACGUAUCCAACCUGCCGUCUACUCUUGGACAGCCUUCUGAAAGGAAGAUUAAUACAAGAUGGCAUCAUGAGUCCGCAUGUUCACAUGAUUAAAGGUAUUCCGGUAGACGAUGGGGAUGCGUUCCAUUAGAUAGUAGGCGGGGUAACGGCCCACCUAGUCUUCGAUGGAUAGGGGUUCUGAGAGGAAGGUCCCCCACAUUGGAACUGAGACACGGUCCAAACUCCUACGGGAGGCAGCAGUGAGGAAUAUUGGUCAAUGGGCGAGAGCCUGAACCAGCCAAGUAGCGUGAAGGAUGACUGCCCUAUGGGUUGUAAACUUCUUUUAUAAAGGAAUAAAGUCGGGUAUGGAUACCCGUUUGCAUGUACUUUAUGAAUAAGGAUCGGCUAACUCCGUGCCAGCAGCCGCGGUAAUACGGAGGAUCCGAGCGUUAUCCGGAUUUAUUGGGUUUAAAGGGAGCGUAGAUGGAUGUUUAAGUCAGUUGUGAAAGUUUGCGGCUCAACCGUAAAAUUGCAGUUGAUACUGGAUAUCUUGAGUGCAGUUGAGGCAGGCGGAAUUCGUGGUGUAGCGGUGAAAUGCUUAGAUAUCACGAAGAACUCCGAUUGCGAAGGCAGCCUGCUAAGCUGCAACUGACAUUGAGGCUCGAAAGUGUGGGUAUCAAACAGGAUUAGAUACCCUGGUAGUCCACACGGUAAACGAUGAAUACUCGCUGUUUGCGAUAUACUGCAAGCGGCCAAGCGAAAGCGUUAAGUAUUCCACCUGGGGAGUACGCCGGCAACGGUGAAACUCAAAGGAAUUGACGGGGGCCCGCACAAGCGGAGGAACAUGUGGUUUAAUUCGAUGAUACGCGAGGAACCUUACCCGGGCUUAAAUUGCAGAUGAAUUACGGUGAAAGCCGUAAGCCGCAAGGCAUCUGUGAAGGUGCUGCAUGGUUGUCGUCAGCUCGUGCCGUGAGGUGUCGGCUUAAGUGCCAUAACGAGCGCAACCCUUGUUGUCAGUUACUAACAGGUUCCGCUGAGGACUCUGACAAGACUGCCAUCGUAAGAUGUGAGGAAGGUGGGGAUGACGUCAAAUCAGCACGGCCCUUACGUCCGGGGCUACACACGUGUUACAAUGGGGGGUACAGAGGGCCGCUACCACGCGAGUGGAUGCCAAUCCCCAAAACCUCUCUCAGUUCGGACUGGAGUCUGCAACCCGACUCCACGAAGCUGGAUUCGCUAGUAAUCGCGCAUCAGCCACGGCGCGGUGAAUACGUUCCCGGGCCUUGUACACACCGCCCGUCAAGCCAUGGGAGCCGGGGGUACCUGAAGUGCGUAACCGCGAGGAGCGCCCUAGGGUAAAACUGGUGACUGGG